RNAcentral lists this ribosomal RNA (175 nucleotides) under uncultured bacterium. Its description in RNAcentral is "partial 16S ribosomal RNA". It matches the Rfam family "Bacterial small subunit ribosomal RNA", at positions 168 to 354 of the family's 1533-position model. The record is from RNAcentral.
ACCGGAUGACCUCGGGAGAGCAAAGACUUGUCGCCCCGGGAGGGGCCCACGUGAUAUUACCUAGUUGGCGGGGUAACGGCCCACCAAGGGGGAGAUGUCUAGCGGGUGUGAGAGCACGACCCGCGCCACUGGCACUGAGACACUGGCCAGACACCCACGGGUGGCUGCAGAAUCG